This 2695-nucleotide long non-coding RNA is filed under the name Homo sapiens (human). RNAcentral describes it as "HSALNT0078056". Lineage: Eukaryota; Metazoa; Chordata; Mammalia; Primates; Hominidae. The record is from RNAcentral.
CUCUGCCUCCCGGGUUCAAGCGAUUCUCCCGAGUUGCUGGGACCACGGGCUCGUGACGCCACGCCCGGCUAAUUUUUUUGUAUUUUUGGUAGAGACGGGGUUUCACCAUGUGAGCCAGGAUGCUCUCCAUCUCCUGACCUCAUGAUCCGCCCGCCUCGGCCUCCCAAAGUGUUGGGAUUACAAGCGUGAGCCACUGCGCCCGGACUGGAGCUUUUACAAUUUUAACUCCUUAAGGUGAAAAAACGCACUGCUUAUUUUCUUCAAGUCAAAAUGCCUUAAAGGAGCAGUAUCUUGAAUGUGACGUGGCAGACUCAAGGGGAUGCUCUUCAACAUAAAGCAUCAGAAGCCUGAGUAACAUUUUCUGAUCUUGACUCUACGUGACAAGUCGAAAAGAAUUUUUUUCAAUUUAGUUUUUACCAAGUCAGAUUCUAUUUGACAAUAUGGCAGCACUACACAUGGAAAGUAACUUAUUACUUUGGGCAUCUAGUUUAAAUAGAGACAAUCCAUAAUGUGCAUGUGAAAAAAAAUGGCCACUGUUCUUGAAGCAUUGCCCUUGAGCAAGCAACAAGUUUAAAUCUGUCAGUGUGGAAGAAAUUGUUUUUUCUUAAUUGCUUAAUUGUUAACCCUAGGAGAAAAUGACAAUAAAAUUCUACUUCAAAAUGUUUAUGUUUUUGGAAUUACAGGUAUGUAUUAAGGAGUUUUUAAUAAUUCCAAAAAUUGCAUAUAAAAACAAUAUUAUAUAUAAAAUAACAGUAAAAUAAAGGCAUGUUUUAUUAAGAAAGUACAAAUGAUAUGUAUUUUGCCAGAGACAAUAUUUAGAAGAAAAUCGAGUGGCCCUGUGCAGGAGAGGAAGGAAGAGAUUAGAAAUGAGAGAAGCCACCUUAUUUAAUGAAGACUAUAUAAUAAAGACUUCCCUGAUUCCAAACAUUUUGAAAGCCUUAAGGAAAUUUUCUAAUAGAUAUAGGAAAAGUAAUUACCAGUCCAUUAAGUGGCUUAAAUGGUCGACCAUCUUACUGCUGGAUUAGCAAACAAAUUUAGAAGUCAUCAAAAGCUACAAGAUUUUUUUCGUGUUCAUGAUCAUAAAAUACCUCUGUUUCUCUAGAUUCAUUGUGGUUUCAUUACAUUGUUCUUAAUUCAUCAUAUUUUUAAUUGCAUGCAUAUAUAGAUACUAUGUUUGCAUCUACAUAAUAGUGGAAUAUUAAUAAUGAGAAAUUUCAAGGAAAAAUGUUGUAUAAAGAGAUUUUUAUAAUUUUAGGUACAUGUAGAAACCAUAAGUGGAACACUGUAUUAACUGAAUAUCAUUGAGAAACUUCAAGCAAACAUGUUACUGAUAUAAAUUAAAGAAUAAUUGAAAAGGAAAAGACCUCCUUCCUUUUUUCCCCAAAAGAUUAAAACUUCUGCAUAGGUCGCUUCCAAGAUGGACGAAUAGGAACAACUCCAACCUACAGCUCCCAGCGAGAUUGAUGCAGAAGAUGGGCGAUUUCUGCAUUUCCAACUGAGGUCUCUGAAGAAUCUCCAUACCAUCUUCCACAAUUGUUGAACUAAUUUACACUUCCAGUAACAAUGUGACAUGUUGAUGUCUUCAAGAGGCGGACUCCCAUGGCCUUGGUCAGCUCUGACCCUGUGGUUCUGCAGGGUACAGCCUCCCUCCCACUGCUUUCAUGACUGGCAUUAAGUAUCUCCAGCUUUUCCAGGAAUACAGUGCAAGCUGUUGAUAGAUCUACCGUUCUGCGGCCUGGAGAAUUAUGGCACUCUUCUCACAGCUCCACUAGGUUGUGCCCCAGUGGAGACUCUGUGUGUAGACUCUGACCCCACAUUUCCCUUCCACAUUGCCCUAGAAGAGGUUCUCCAUGAAGACUCUGCCCCUGCAGCAAACUACUUCCUAGACAUCCAGGCAUUUCCACACAUCCUUUGAAUUCUAGGCGGAGGUUCCCUAACCUUUAUUCUUGGCUUCUGUGCACUUGCAGGACCAACAACACAUGGAAGCUGCCAAGGCUUGGGGUUUACACCCUCUGAAGCAAUGGCCUGAGCUGCACCUUGGACCUUUUUAGCCAAAGCUGAAGCAGCUGAGAGGCAAGGCCCCAAGUCUCAGGCUUCACACAGUAGGGGGCACCUGGACCUAGCCCAGGAAACUAUUUUUCCCUUAAUGGCAUACCCUCCCAUCACAGGCCCAGAAGCCUAGGACAUAACCUGGAGGCAUUUUCCCCUUUGUCUUGGUGAUUAGAUGCAGCACCCCCAGGGGGAACUUUGCCCCUCCCAUUUGGGCACAACCACUGAAGACUUCCUCAUCUUUGCCACAUAAAAGCCCCAGAACACAGCCCCAUUUCUGGCAACCCUCUUUGGGUCCCCUCUCUUUGCUGAGAACUUUUCUGUUGCUUAAUAAAACUUUGCUCUACAUUAUUCCUUCUCUGGUGUCUGCGUGCUUUAUUCUUCUUGGUCAUGGGACAAGAACUUAGACCUAGUUGAACUGAGGAGCGAUUAGGCUGCAACACUAAUAUCAACCAAAAAAUUAGAGAACAAAGGGCAAACAGACCUCAAAGCUAGCAGAAGACAAGAAACAACCCAAAUCAGAGCAGAUCUGAAGGAGACGGAGACACAGUAAAACUACCCUAAGAACAAUGAAUCCAGGAGGUUGUUUUUUUAAAAAAUUAAUAAAAUAGCUCACCAGCUAGACUAAUAAAGAAGAAAAGAGAAG